This 2903-nucleotide ribosomal RNA is filed under the name Escherichia coli. RNAcentral's name for it is "23S ribosomal RNA". It matches the Rfam family "Bacterial large subunit ribosomal RNA". The record is from RNAcentral. Lineage: Bacteria; Pseudomonadati; Pseudomonadota; Gammaproteobacteria; Enterobacterales; Enterobacteriaceae.
GGUUAAGCGACUAAGCGUACACGGUGGAUGCCCUGGCAGUCAGAGGCGAUGAAGGACGUGCUAAUCUGCGAUAAGCGUCGGUAAGGUGAUAUGAACCGUUAUAACCGGCGAUUUCCGAAUGGGGAAACCCAGUGUGUUUCGACACACUAUCAUUAACUGAAUCCAUAGGUUAAUGAGGCGAACCGGGGGAACUGAAACAUCUAAGUACCCCGAGGAAAAGAAAUCAACCGAGAUUCCCCCAGUAGCGGCGAGCGAACGGGGAGCAGCCCAGAGCCUGAAUCAGUGUGUGUGUUAGUGGAAGCGUCUGGAAAGGCGCGCGAUACAGGGUGAUAGCCCCGUACACAAAAAUGCACAUGCUGUGAGCUCGAUGAGUAGGGCGGGACACGUGGUAUCCUGUCUGAAUAUGGGGGGACCAUCCUCCAAGGCUAAAUACUCCUGACUGACCGAUAGUGAACCAGUACCGUGAGGGAAAGGCGAAAAGAACCCCGGCGAGGGGAGUGAAAAAGAACCUGAAACCGUGUACGUACAAGCAGUGGGAGCACGCUUAGGCGUGUGACUGCGUACCUUUUGUAUAAUGGGUCAGCGACUUAUAUUCUGUAGCAAGGUUAACCGAAUAGGGGAGCCGAAGGGAAACCGAGUCUUAACUGGGCGUUAAGUUGCAGGGUAUAGACCCGAAACCCGGUGAUCUAGCCAUGGGCAGGUUGAAGGUUGGGUAACACUAACUGGAGGACCGAACCGACUAAUGUUGAAAAAUUAGCGGAUGACUUGUGGCUGGGGGUGAAAGGCCAAUCAAACCGGGAGAUAGCUGGUUCUCCCCGAAAGCUAUUUAGGUAGCGCCUCGUGAAUUCAUCUCCGGGGGUAGAGCACUGUUUCGGCAAGGGGGUCAUCCCGACUUACCAACCCGAUGCAAACUGCGAAUACCGGAGAAUGUUAUCACGGGAGACACACGGCGGGUGCUAACGUCCGUCGUGAAGAGGGAAACAACCCAGACCGCCAGCUAAGGUCCCAAAGUCAUGGUUAAGUGGGAAACGAUGUGGGAAGGCCCAGACAGCCAGGAUGUUGGCUUAGAAGCAGCCAUCAUUUAAAGAAAGCGUAAUAGCUCACUGGUCGAGUCGGCCUGCGCGGAAGAUGUAACGGGGCUAAACCAUGCACCGAAGCUGCGGCAGCGACACUAUGUGUUGUUGGGUAGGGGAGCGUUCUGUAAGCCUGUGAAGGUGUGCUGUGAGGCAUGCUGGAGGUAUCAGAAGUGCGAAUGCUGACAUAAGUAACGAUAAAGCGGGUGAAAAGCCCGCUCGCCGGAAGACCAAGGGUUCCUGUCCAACGUUAAUCGGGGCAGGGUGAGUCGACCCCUAAGGCGAGGCCGAAAGGCGUAGUCGAUGGGAAACAGGUUAAUAUUCCUGUACUUGGUGUUACUGCGAAGGGGGGACGGAGAAGGCUAUGUUGGCCGGGCGACGGUUGUCCCGGUUUAAGCGUGUAGGCUGGUUUUCCAGGCAAAUCCGGAAAAUCAAGGCUGAGGCGUGAUGACGAGGCACUACGGUGCUGAAGCAACAAAUGCCCUGCUUCCAGGAAAAGCCUCUAAGCAUCAGGUAACAUCAAAUCGUACCCCAAACCGACACAGGUGGUCAGGUAGAGAAUACCAAGGCGCUUGAGAGAACUCGGGUGAAGGAACUAGGCAAAAUGGUGCCGUAACUUCGGGAGAAGGCACGCUGAUAUGUAGGUGAAGCGACUUGCUCGUGGAGCUGAAAUCAGUCGAAGAUACCAGCUGGCUGCAACUGUUUAUUAAAAACACAGCACUGUGCAAACACGAAAGUGGACGUAUACGGUGUGACGCCUGCCCGGUGCCGGAAGGUUAAUUGAUGGGGUCAGCGCAAGCGAAGCUCUUGAUCGAAGCCCCGGUAAACGGCGGCCGUAACUAUAACGGUCCUAAGGUAGCGAAAUUCCUUGUCGGGUAAGUUCCGACCUGCACGAAUGGCGUAAUGAUGGCCAGGCUGUCUCCACCCGAGACUCAGUGAAAUUGAACUCGCUGUGAAGAUGCAGUGUACCCGCGGCAAGACGGAAAGACCCCGUGAACCUUUACUAUAGCUUGACACUGAACAUUGAGCCUUGAUGUGUAGGAUAGGUGGGAGGCUUUGAAGUGUGGACGCCAGUCUGCAUGGAGCCGACCUUGAAAUACCACCCUUUAAUGUUUGAUGUUCUAACGUUGACCCGUAAUCCGGGUUGCGGACAGUGUCUGGUGGGUAGUUUGACUGGGGCGGUCUCCUCCUAAAGAGUAACGGAGGAGCACGAAGGUUGGCUAAUCCUGGUCGGACAUCAGGAGGUUAGUGCAAUGGCAUAAGCCAGCUUGACUGCGAGCGUGACGGCGCGAGCAGGUGCGAAAGCAGGUCAUAGUGAUCCGGUGGUUCUGAAUGGAAGGGCCAUCGCUCAACGGAUAAAAGGUACUCCGGGGAUAACAGGCUGAUACCGCCCAAGAGUUCAUAUCGACGGCGGUGUUUGGCACCUCGAUGUCGGCUCAUCACAUCCUGGGGCUGAAGUAGGUCCCAAGGGUAUGGCUGUUCGCCAUUUAAAGUGGUACGCGAGCUGGGUUUAGAACGUCGUGAGACAGUUCGGUCCCUAUCUGCCGUGGGCGCUGGAGAACUGAGGGGGGCUGCUCCUAGUACGAGAGGACCGGAGUGGACGCAUCACUGGUGUUCGGGUUGUCAUGCCAAUGGCACUGCCCGGUAGCUAAAUGCGGAAGAGAUAAGUGCUGAAAGCAUCUAAGCACGAAACUUGCCCCGAGAUGAGUUCUCCCUGACCCUUUAAGGGUCCUGAAGGAACGUUGAAGACGACGACGUUGAUAGGCCGGGUGUGUAAGCGCAGCGAUGCGUUGAGCUAACCGGUACUAAUGAACCGUGAGGCUUAACCUU